AAGUCGAGGGGCAGCAUGGUCUUAGCUUGCUAAGGCUGAUGGCGACCGGCGCACGGGUGAGUAACACGUAUCCAACCUGCCCUUCACAGGGGGAUAACCGGGAGAAAUUCCGACUAAUACCGCAUACGUCCUCCGGGGGCAUCCCCGGGGGAUGAAAGAAUUAUCGGUGAAGGAUGGGCAUGCGUGAUAUUAGGUAGUUGGCGGGGCAACGGCCCACCAAGCCCACGAUAUCUAGGGGUUCUGAGAGGAAGGUCCCCACAUUGGUACUGAGACACGGACCAAACUCC
Molecule: ribosomal RNA, 287 nt
Filed under: uncultured bacterium
Lineage: Bacteria
Description: partial 16S ribosomal RNA
Rfam family: Bacterial small subunit ribosomal RNA
Source: RNAcentral